UGAGGAAUAUUGGUCAAUGGGCGAGAGCCUGAACCAGCCAAGUAGCGUGCAGGAUGACGGCCCUAUGGGUUGUAAACUGCUUUUAUAUGGGAAUAAAGUGAGGGACGUGUCCCUUAUUGCAUGUACCAUACGAAUAAGGACCGGCUAAUUCCGUGCCAGCAGCCGCGGUAAUACGGAAGGUCCAGGCGUUAUCCGGAUUUAUUGGGUUUAAAGGGAGCGUAGGCUGUUUGUUAAGCGUGUUGUGAAAUGUAGGAGCUCAACUUUUAGAUUGCAGCGCGAACUGGCAGACUUGAGUGCGCACAACGUAGGCGGAAUUCAUGGUGUAGCGGUGAAAUGCUUAGAUAUCAUGACGAACUCCGAUUGCGAAGGCAGCUUACGGGAGCGCAACUGACGCUCGAGCUCGAAGGUGCGGGUAUCGAACAGG
Molecule: ribosomal RNA, 424 nt
Filed under: Verrucomicrobiota bacterium
Lineage: Bacteria; Pseudomonadati; Verrucomicrobiota
Description: Verrucomicrobia bacterium partial 16S ribosomal RNA
Rfam family: Bacterial small subunit ribosomal RNA
Source: RNAcentral